RNAcentral lists this ribosomal RNA (201 nucleotides) under uncultured bacterium. RNAcentral's name for it is "partial 16S ribosomal RNA". It matches the Rfam family "Bacterial small subunit ribosomal RNA", at positions 328 to 539 of the family's 1533-position model. The record is from RNAcentral.
ACGCUCGACACCUACGGGGGGCAGCAGUGGGGAAUAUUGGGCAAUGGGCGAAAGCCUGACCCAGCAACGCCGCGUGAGGGAAGAAGGUUUUCGGAUUGUAAACCUCUGUCCUCAGGGACGAAGGACGUGACGGUACCUGAGGAGGAAGCCCCGGCUAACUACGUGCCAGCAGCAGCGGUAAUCUGAGCGGGCUGGCAAGGC